Molecule: ribosomal RNA, 270 nt
Filed under: Escherichia coli
Lineage: Bacteria; Pseudomonadati; Pseudomonadota; Gammaproteobacteria; Enterobacterales; Enterobacteriaceae
Description: partial 16S ribosomal RNA
Rfam family: Bacterial small subunit ribosomal RNA
Source: RNAcentral
AAAUUGAAGAGUUUGAUCAUGGCUCAGAUUGAACGCUGGCGGCAGGCCUAACACAUGCAAGUCGAACGGUAACAGGAAGCAGCUUGCUGCUUCGCUGACGAGUGGCGGACGGGUGAGUAAUGUCUGGGAAACUGCCUGAUGGAGGGGGAUAACUACUGGAAACGGUAGCUAAUACCGCAUAACGUCGCAAGACCAAAGAGGGGGACCUUCGGGCCUCUUGCCAUCGGAUGUGCCCAGAUGGGAUUAGCUAGUAGGUGGGGUAACGGCUCA